GCCUCUUUAGCUCAGUGGUAGAGCAGCUCACUCGUAAUGAGCAGGUCGUGGGUUCGACUCCCAUGAGAGGCU
This 72-nucleotide transfer RNA is filed under the name Sunxiuqinia elliptica. RNAcentral describes it as "Bacteroidetes bacterium DQHS-4 tRNA". It matches the Rfam family "tRNA". From Rfam's summary of the family: Transfer RNA (tRNA) molecules are approximately 80 nucleotides in length. Their secondary structure includes four short double-helical elements and three loops (D, anti-codon, and T loops). Lineage: Bacteria; Pseudomonadati; Bacteroidota; Bacteroidia; Marinilabiliales; Prolixibacteraceae. RNAcentral also lists the same sequence under 1 other name. The record is from Rfam by way of RNAcentral.